RNAcentral lists this ribosomal RNA (253 nucleotides) under uncultured bacterium. Its description in RNAcentral is "partial 16S ribosomal RNA". It matches the Rfam family "Bacterial small subunit ribosomal RNA", at positions 524 to 776 of the family's 1533-position model. The record is from RNAcentral.
UACAGAGGGUGCAAGCGUUAAUCGGAAUUACUGGGCGUAAAGCGCGCGUAGGUGGUUUGUUAAGUUGGAUGUGAAAUCCCCGGGCUCAACCUGGGCACUGCAGUUAGAACUGGCAAGCUAGAGUAGGGUAGAGGGGUGUGGAAUUCCAGGUGUAGCGGUGAAAUGCGUAGAUAUCUGGAGGAACAUCAGUGGCGAAGGCGACACCCUGGACUCAUACUGACACUGAGGUGCGAAAGCGUGGGGAGCAAACAGG